RNAcentral lists this transfer RNA (71 nucleotides) under Marmota marmota marmota (Alpine marmot). It matches the Rfam family "tRNA". Rfam says of the family: Transfer RNA (tRNA) molecules are approximately 80 nucleotides in length. Their secondary structure includes four short double-helical elements and three loops (D, anti-codon, and T loops). RNAcentral also lists the same sequence under 1 other name. The record is from Rfam by way of RNAcentral. Lineage: Eukaryota; Metazoa; Chordata; Mammalia; Rodentia; Sciuridae.
UAGGAUAUAGCUUAAUGGAGAGCACUUUCCUAGCAUGCAAGAGGCCCUGGGUUUGAUCCCCAACACUGUAA